AAACGACCGUCCUCUUUCCGGCCACCCUUCCGCCCGCAUCCCUCCAGCUUCCGGCGGGCGGGUGUGCGCGCGCCGCCUAACGACCUUCUGGGCCGACGGUCGGCAGGCGGCGGCGGCGUGUGAAUGGAGGCCUCGGCCCCGGGCCGGGCGCGGCGGGGCUGGCGGCGGGCCAGGGCCGCGGGGUCCCCGCUCUCCCGGGCCGCGGUGGUCCUGGUGGUCUCCGCGCUGGUGCUCUGGGCGCCCCCGUCAGUUGGAUAUUUGGAUCGAUUACCAAGAAAUGCUAACUUGCCCCAAGAUUCAGUGAAAAUAGUGGGAUCACCAAAUAUUCCAGUGAAAGUAUAUGUUAUGCUCCAUCAAAAGAGUCCACAUGUGUUAUGUGUAACCCAGCGUCUGCGGAAUUCCGAACUGAUAGACCCAUCAUUCCAGUGGCAUGGGCCUAAAGGAAAAAUCAUUUCAGAAAACAGCACUGCACAAAUCACCUCCACAGGAAGCCUUGUAUUCCAGAACUUUGAGGAAAGCAUGAGUGGUGUUUAUACAUGUUUUCUGGAGUAUAAACCUACUGUGGAAGAAGUCAUUAAAAAUCUCCAACUGAAAUAUGUUGUAUAUGCUUAUCGUGAGCCGCAUUAUUAUUACCAGUUCACAGCUCGAUAUCAUGCAGCUCCUUGUAACAGUAUCUAUAAUAUUUCUUUUGAGAAGAAACUUCUUCAGAUUUUAAGCAAACUUGUUCUUGACCUUUCAUGUGAAGUUUCCUUACUCAAGUCUGAAUGUCAUCGUGUUAAAAUGCAAAGGGCUGGUUUGCAAAAUGAAUUGUUUUUUACAUUUUCAGUUUCAUCUCUAGACACUGAAAAAGGACCCAAGCCAUGUGCAGACCAUAGUUGUGAAUCUUCCAAAAGACUAUCUAAGGCUAAAAAUCUCAUAGAGCGGUUUUUUAAUCAACAAGUGGAAGUUUUGGGCAGACGUGCAGAGCCAUUGCCUGAGAUAUACUAUAUUGAAGGUACCCUCCAAAUGGUUUGGAUUAAUCGCUGCUUCCCAGGGUAUGGAAUGAAUAUCCUGAAACACCCACGAUGUCCUGAGUGCUGUGCUUUAGGCCAUUACAAAUAAAGCUGCUGUGAACCUUCCUGGACAAGUCUUUGUGUGGACAAUACCUAUGACUGCGAUUGCUGGGUCAUACGUAAUCUGCAGCCCUGGAUCUUAUAACUCCCGUGAUGGAAUUCACUGCCUUCAGUGCAAUAGCAGCCUGGUGUUUGGAGCAAAAGCAUGUUUAUAGGCCAUCAUUUUGAGCUCGACGAUGGUUUGUCAAACACAAAAGUUUAUUUUUGAAGUAUUAAUAUAUAAUAAAUCACUAUUAUGCCAAAAUUAAAUGUAUUAGAUUUUACCAAAAAAA
This is an RNA transcript of Cervus elaphus (red deer), 1384 nucleotides long. It is a transcript of the gene named zona pellucida binding protein, with no coding region annotated. The transcript has 9 exons. NCBI's taxonomy places the organism in Eukaryota, Metazoa, Chordata, Mammalia, Artiodactyla, Cervidae. The record is from RefSeq and is a predicted model, not a curated record.